GACGAACCGUGCGAACGUUGUUCGGAAUCACUGGGCUUAAAGGGCGCGUAGGCGGGUCGCCGCGUCCGGGGUGAAAACCCAGGGCUCAACCCUGGGCCUGCAUUCGAUACGGGCAGACUAGAGUUCGGUAGGGGAGACUGGAAUUCCUGGUGUAGCGGUGAAAUGCGCAGAUAUCAGGAGGAACACCGGUGGCGAAGGCGGGUCUCUGGGCAGUAACUGACGCUGAGGAGCGAAAGCGUGGGGAGCGAACAGG
This 253-nucleotide ribosomal RNA is filed under the name uncultured bacterium. Its description in RNAcentral is "partial 16S ribosomal RNA". It matches the Rfam family "Bacterial small subunit ribosomal RNA", at positions 524 to 776 of the family's 1533-position model. The record is from RNAcentral.